This 253-nucleotide ribosomal RNA is filed under the name uncultured bacterium. RNAcentral describes it as "partial 16S ribosomal RNA". It matches the Rfam family "Bacterial small subunit ribosomal RNA", at positions 524 to 776 of the family's 1533-position model. The record is from RNAcentral.
UACAGAGGUCUCGAGCGUUAGGCGGAAUCACUGGGCUUAAAGCGUGUGUAGGCGGGUCGUUAAGUGCCUUGUGAAAUCCCAUGGCUCAACCAUGGAACUGCUGGGCAUACUGGCGAUCUUGUGCCACCUAGGGGCGAGCGGAACAGAUGGUGGAGCGGUGAAAUGCGUAGAUAUCAGGAGGAACACCGAUGGCGAAGGCAGUGUUCUGGGCCAGUACUGACGCUGAGGAGCGAAAGCGUGGGGAGCAAACAGG